UGGGGUGAUGGUGUCCGAAAGAACAUGUAGUUAUAAAUUUCGAUGGCUUUAAACAUUUCGUACUGCCUGUCGGCCGUUCUUUGUACCUGUAAGAUACUUUCACAGUAAAGUUGACUUGUACAAUUCAAAAGGGUGGAUGUGGUGCAAGUUUUUAGUGCCGCUAGGAGUUGACUUAAUGUAAUCUUGUCCCACAGAACUUCAUGUAUGAAGAUCUUUGAAUAGCUUCAAUAUUUGUUGUAUAUUGUGUGGUAGCUGUAGUGACUAGUGAAGGAAAAUGGGCGUCUGCUAUUCGUGUUUUAAAGGUUCUGCGUCGGACUAUGAGACUCCUGAUAUGAAUGUAUCCUGCAACAUAGACUGUCAGUCUUUGAAGAAUUAUUGAAAAUUUUGUUGGCUGGAAACAAAACGGAAACAGAUGGCUGAGGCAGCAGAGAGGCGACAAAAGGAGCAGGAGUCAAGGGGAGUGAAAAAUCCUCAACAGCCACGGAAAAAAAUGCCAGCAGCAGAAUUACCUGAAAAUUCUAAU
This is a long non-coding RNA of Schistocerca piceifrons (Central American locust), 523 nucleotides long. RefSeq lists it as uncharacterized. The record is from RefSeq and is a predicted model, not a curated record. NCBI's taxonomy places the organism in Eukaryota, Metazoa, Arthropoda, Insecta, Orthoptera, Acrididae. The transcript is spliced from 3 exons.